GGACUAAUAUGUCGGUCGUACUUUGUACGUACUUAGCAUUAUUGGUUUCUCCCUUCUGACGAACCACGAUGCCAUUAAUUUGGUGUCGCGGGAAAUCAGGACUGUUACUUUGAAAAAUUAGGAGUGUUUAAAGCAAGCUCGCGCUUGAAUACAUUAGCAUGGAAUAAUGAAAUAGGACGUUUGAUUCUAUUUUGUUGGUUUCUAGGAUCGACGUAAUGAUUA
This 222-nucleotide ribosomal RNA is filed under the name uncultured Glomeromycotina. RNAcentral's name for it is "partial 18S ribosomal RNA". It matches the Rfam family "Eukaryotic small subunit ribosomal RNA", at positions 652 to 871 of the family's 1831-position model. The record is from RNAcentral. Lineage: Eukaryota; Fungi; Glomeromycota.